UAGCCAGGAUGGCCUCGAACUCCUGACCUCGUGAUCCACCCGUCUCGGCCUCCCAAAGUGCUGGGAUUACAGGCUUGAGCCACCGCGCCCAGCUUUCAAAUUCUUUCUUGCAUGAGAUCCGAGAACCACGAUGUCUGGAUCAGGACCUCUUUCUGAUGACAGUUUGGCUCUGUGUCCCCACCCAAAUCUCGUGUUGAAUUGUAAUUCCCAGUGUUGGGGGAGGGACCUGGUGACAGGUGAUUGGAUCAUGGAGAUGGAUUUCCUCCUUGCUGUUCAUAUAAUGACCCAGAGAGAAAGCGCCUCCCCCAUGAAGCUGCUGGUCAAACGCUUGCUCCAUUGAGCACUCACUCUACCAAGAAACCUGGUGGAGCAGCUAAAGAAAGGUUCAAACUGGUCUCAAAAGUCAGACGGCCUCCACAAGGAAGGGAACCUGCACACAGCUGCGACAUGGACAGCCCUGAGGACAUCGAAUAAGCCAGACACAGAAGGACAAAUGCUGUGUGGUAGCACUUACCUGAGGCCCCUAGCGCCUCCGGCUCAUAGAGAAAGUAGAACAGCGGGUGCCAGAGCUGUGGGAAGGGGAUGGGAAAUGGGUGUUUAAUGGGGAGAGAGUCUCAGUUUGGGCAGAUGAGAAAGUUCUGGAGAGGGAUGGCGGUGAUGGGUGGACAAUGUGAAUGUACUUAAUGCACACUUAGCGACGGUUAAAAUGGUAUAUUUUAUGUUAUAUAAAUUUUACCACAAUUAAAAAAA
Long non-coding RNA from Piliocolobus tephrosceles (Ugandan red Colobus), 750 nucleotides. RefSeq lists it as uncharacterized. The record is from RefSeq and is a predicted model, not a curated record. The transcript has 2 exons. NCBI's taxonomy places the organism in Eukaryota, Metazoa, Chordata, Mammalia, Primates, Cercopithecidae.